Molecule: long non-coding RNA, 922 nt
Filed under: Musa acuminata (dwarf banana)
Lineage: Eukaryota; Viridiplantae; Streptophyta; Magnoliopsida; Zingiberales; Musaceae
Description: long non-coding RNA (MACU_LNC003230)
Source: RNAcentral
AAGUACAUCUCCUUCACUUCCAUUCUUUCAUCAUUAUAGGAUCAGUGAAUACAACUCCUUUCAGUAUGCACACGCUACGAGCAGAAAGCAGCCUCGACUAAUCUUCUCGUCUUGUUUGCAGGACAAUGGCCUGGUUCCAAUUGUGGAGCCUGAGAUACUGCUCGACGGAGAGCACGGGAUCGAUAGGACGUUUGAGGUCGCACAGAAAGUUUGGGCUGAGGUCUUCUUUUACUUGGCUGAGAACAACGUCAUGUUCGAAGGUAUCCUCCUCAAGCCAAGCAUGGUCACCCCCGGCGCCGAGUGCAAAGAGAAGGCCACACCGGAGCAGGUCGCCGACUACACCCUGAAGCUCCUGCACAGAAGAGUCCCAUCUGCUGUUCCUGGCAUUAUGGUACGCAGCACCACCAUGAUCAUCUUGUUCGCUUCUCUCAUAGAGGUGAUGAUUGAUGCCCAUUCACCUGUAAAUGUUUUGGCGAACAGUUCCUCUCCGGUGGACAGUCGGAAGUGGAGGCAACCCUGAACCUGAAUGCCAUGAACCAGAGCCCCAACCCAUGGCACGUCUCCUUCUCUUACGCGAGAGCUCUGCAGAACACCUGCCUGAAGACAUGGGGAGGAAGACCGGAGAACGUGAAGGCUGCGCAGGAUGUGCUCCUAGUCCGGGCCAAGGCCAACUCGCUCGCUCAGCUCGGGAAGUACUCAGCCGAGGGCGAAGCUGCAGAAGCUAAAGAGGGGAUGUACGUCAAGAACUACAGCUACUGAGAACCCAGCAAAGCAUGAUAUCUUCUAUAUCUCUGUGGAUUUUGAUUACCGGUCUGUUCAAGGAAGACGACGAUCGAUGUAGUUGAAUGUUUAAGCCUGCAUAAGACUGCAUUUGGUAUUAAGUAUCGAUUGAAUACAGCUUGUUAGCUGCGUCUGUUGCAAA